UCUCCACCAACAACAGAUUCUUCACGUCCCCAUUUCUCUCAUUCCUUUUUUUCAUCCAUGCCAUAUUGUAACACAUGUCUUUUCUGCACACUUUGUGCUCACUCGUAUGCACCCGGGAAGAAUUUCCCGGUCGGUCACCCAUCCCAAAUUGCUCCAGGCCAAGCACGCUUCCCAUCCCAAAUUGCUCCAGGCCAAGCACGCUUAACCCUGGAGUUUUUUGGAGAUUGGCUUCCGGAAAAAAAGUUGCAACUUAUUGAUAUGAGUAUUCUAUUAAUCCUAUUAAGCCCUAGGCCGGGAUGUUACACCCUCACCCCCUUAAGAGAGAUCGACGCCCCCGUCGAUCAACCCUAGGCCAGGAACGUCCUCUCUUGGCCACGUCCAUGUGUCCAGUGCCAGCGCCCGUGAAACCGCGAGAGUCGGCUCUGAUACCUUUGAUACCAUUUUGUAACGUCCCGCCUCCCCCAGGCCGGGCCCACUUACAUCUGGUAGCUUUCAUAGAUCAUAGACUGCCCUCACAGACCAACACAUGUCUUUUCUGCACACUUUGUCCUCACUCGUAUGCACCCGGGACCCGGGAAGAAUUUCCCGGUCGGUCACCCAUCCCAAAUUGCUCCAGACCAAGCACGUUUAACCCUGGAGUUCUUUGGAGAUUGGCUUCCGGAAAAGAAGUUGCAACUUGUUGAUAUGAGUAUUCUAUUAAUCCUAUUAAGCCCUAGGCCGGGAUGUUACACAUAUACAUCGAUUUCCUAAUUUUGAUUUUCCUUUCUCCAUUUUUGCGAUUUCUAGGUUUCGUUGAAUCCCUAACCUGUGGAUGCGACUCCUCAUAUCUCAUCCAAAAUUGAAAUCGAAGUAAUCUAAAACUCCCCAUUUUUGUGUGUAUUUGUUCAUUCACAUGGGGUGUUUGCAACAGAGGCGAGGAUGUGUGUGUAUAUAUGCUAAAUCAUAUGAUACUUGCAGCAAAAUGUUAAAAUCAUUUGGAUUUUUGCUUUGAAAUGAUGUGAUUCUUUGGUUCAACUGAUCUAAUAUUCAUCAUUAAAAUGAUAUUUUCUUUAUUCUUUCACCUUUUCAAUAAUCUCUUGUUACAUCUCCAAUUAACAAAAUCAGUUGAUUUAGCCAAUGAAACCUGCAGGAAACCACUGUACAUCUCCUAAAGUAUCACCUAUGAAACCUGAUGAUACCGGACAUGAUACUAAAGAGGAUCAUGAUACCUCCCCGAUUUCAUAAGAUCCUACUCAAGUAUCAUCUGUGAAAUCCACAGGAAACUACUGUACCAGACAUGAUACUAGACAUGAUCAUGUGAUACUUCACAAGUAUCACAUAUAAUGAUACUUUGAGGAUCAUAUAUCAUGAUACCUGGGUAGGAUCAUGUGAUACUUCACAGGUAUCACACGAAUCUACUAAAGUAUCAUCUGUGAAACUCAUAGGGAUCAUGUUACCAGACAUGAUACCUAAGCAGGAUAAUGCGAUACUACACAGGUAUCACACAUAAUGAUACUUUGAGGAGGAUGAUCCUCCUAGGGUAUCAUCUCUGAAACCUUAUGAUACCAGACAUGAUACAGAGGAGGAUCAUGAUACCUCCCAGGUAUCACAUGAUCCUCCCAAAGUAUCACCUAUGAAACCUGAUGAUACCGGACAUGAUAUUAAGGAGGAUUAUGAUACCUCCCAGGUUUCACAAGAUCCUACUCAAGUAUCAUCUGUGAAACCCACAGGAAACCACUGUACUAGAUAUGAUACUGGAUAAGAUCAUGUGAUACUUCACAAGUAUCACACAUAAUGAUACUUUGAGGAUCAUGUAUCAUAAUACCUGGGUAGGAUCAUGUGAUACUUCACAGGUAUCACACGAACCUACUAAAGUAUCAUCUGUGAAACCCACAAGGAUCAUGUUACCAGACAUGUUACCUAAGUAAGAUCAUGCGAUACUACACAGAUAUC
This 1932-nucleotide long non-coding RNA is filed under the name Oryza sativa (Asian cultivated rice). RNAcentral describes it as "long non-coding RNA (OSAT_LNC000517)". The record is from RNAcentral. Lineage: Eukaryota; Viridiplantae; Streptophyta; Magnoliopsida; Poales; Poaceae.